This is a long non-coding RNA of Triticum aestivum (bread wheat), 659 nucleotides long. RefSeq lists it as uncharacterized. NCBI's taxonomy places the organism in Eukaryota, Viridiplantae, Streptophyta, Magnoliopsida, Poales, Poaceae. The record is from RefSeq and is a predicted model, not a curated record. The transcript has 3 exons.
CUGAUCGAUCUCCCUUGAUUCCCUUCCUAUUCCAUCACGCACACAUUCAUGUAGCAGUUCUCAAAUUCCCAUCUAUGGCCGUCGAGGCUUCGUCUCUUCGCUCGACGCUCCUUUUCCCUUUUCUACUGAAUCGAAUAUACCUCCCUAAUUCAGAUCGUUCAUCGAUUUCAAUUCUCCGGCGCCGUCGCAACACCGCUUUGCUCUCCGUUCAUAAAUGAUUCAACCAUCCGAGAAGCUUUUCAAAGACGAAAUUACCGAAGACAUAUCUUAGGUCAACAACGACUCAAGUGAGGUUAAAUUAUUUAGCAACAUUAUGCAUCGAGAAGAAAUUAUUGGAUUAUAUUAAUGUCGACCUCAUCAUAAGUGACUUUGCAUCAAGGAAUGUUAAAAGAAAUUUUGAAGGGUUCUAUGGUACAACAUCAUGUUAUACUCUUACACCUAUGGGAAACUUUUACCUACUAAUAACUGCCUAUUUAAUCUCCAAUGGAUCAUCCUAUAAAUAAGCGAGCAACUGAGCUAGAUGUUCACGGUUGAGUGCCCGAACCAAGGCUCGAAGUCAACUUAGGUCUGAGUUUUCUGGAAGUUCUUAACUUGCUAUUAUGGAAAUUAAGUACCUAAAUUCUUCUUUAUAUUUUUGAUAUACUAAAUGUUUCUCGUGA